UGCCGGUGCCGGAAGACCGCCUCCCGCUCAAACGCGGGGGGAGGAAAGUCCGAACUGCAGAUCGGGCAAGCUAGAAUGUCCGAUGGAAGAGCAGGAUGGCCUGAGUCAAUCAGGCUGGUUCGUUCGCAAGAGCGGACUGAAGGAAAGUGCCACAGAAACUAAACCUGCCUGAAAGGGUAAGGGUGAAAAGGGCAAACCCCGUCCGCAGCAAGGUUAUGUAGAGGGAGACCUCGCCAUUCAACAGGCGGGAUAGACUGUGCUCGGUUAAAUCUCCCCGGGUCAACCGCAUCAGAGGAAUGGUCUUCAUGGAGUUGGGCGUUUUUUCAUAAAACGCCUGCUCCAACAGAAUUCGGCUUAUAGGCACCGGCUCCUU
RNAcentral lists this RNase P RNA (373 nucleotides) under Elusimicrobia bacterium RIFCSPLOWO2_01_FULL_54_10. RNAcentral's name for it is "RNase P RNA component class A". It matches the Rfam family "Bacterial RNase P class A". From Rfam's summary of the family: Ribonuclease P (RNase P) is a ubiquitous endoribonuclease, found in archaea, bacteria and eukarya as well as chloroplasts and mitochondria. Its best characterised activity is the generation of mature 5'-ends of tRNAs by cleaving the 5'-leader elements of precursor-tRNAs. Lineage: Bacteria; Pseudomonadati; Elusimicrobiota. The record is from RNAcentral.